This 26-nucleotide non-coding RNA is filed under the name Homo sapiens (human). The record is from RNAcentral. Lineage: Eukaryota; Metazoa; Chordata; Mammalia; Primates; Hominidae.
UGGUGUGUGAGGUGCAGGUGCACGGC